UACGUAGGGCGCAAGCGUUAUCCGGAAUUACUGGGCGUAAAGCGCACGUAGGCGGAUCGAUCAGUCAGGGGUGAAAUCCCAGGGCUCAACCCUGGAACUGCCUUUGAUACUGUCGAUCUGGAGUAUGGAAGAGGUGAGUGGAAUUCCGAGUGUAGAGGUGAAAUUCGUAGAUAUUCGGAGGAACACCAGUGGCGAAGGCGGCUCACUGGUCCAUUACUGACGCUGAGGUGCGAAAGCGUGGGGAGCAAACAGG
Molecule: ribosomal RNA, 253 nt
Filed under: uncultured bacterium
Lineage: Bacteria
Description: partial 16S ribosomal RNA
Rfam family: Bacterial small subunit ribosomal RNA
Source: RNAcentral